AAGAGAUUAACCCGGCAAUUUUACUUAGCGUAUUUUCGUGCGACCCAGGGUGCAUCAUGGCUUUCAUGCCCUGACGCGGCUCAACGGCUGAAAAUGCUCGAAGAAUUAAUGCAGUGGGAAGUGACAUCCCCGGUCUCAUACCCUGACUUACCCUGAAUCGCAGCCAUCAUGUGUGACUGAGUAUUGGUGCGAAUCACCACGCCAGCAGGUAUCAUCUGCUGGCUUUUUU
Molecule: small RNA, 229 nt
Filed under: uncultured Phytobacter sp.
Lineage: Bacteria; Pseudomonadati; Pseudomonadota; Gammaproteobacteria; Enterobacterales; Enterobacteriaceae
Description: SgrS RNA
Rfam family: SgrS RNA
About the family: In sugar transport-related sRNA (SgrS) is induced under conditions of glucose phosphate stress in E.coli. This small RNA acts to negatively regulate the translation and stability of the ptsG mRNA, which encodes the major glucose transporter in E. coli.
Source: RNAcentral